This 254-nucleotide ribosomal RNA is filed under the name uncultured bacterium. RNAcentral's name for it is "partial 16S ribosomal RNA". It matches the Rfam family "Bacterial small subunit ribosomal RNA", at positions 524 to 776 of the family's 1533-position model. The record is from RNAcentral.
UACGAAGGGGGCUAGCGUUGCUCGGAAUGACUGGGCGUAAAGGGCGCGUAGGCGGCGAUCAAAGUCAGGCGUGAAAUUCCUGGGCUCAACCUGGGGGCUGCGCUUGAUACUUGGUUGCUUGAGUGGGGAAGAGGGUCGUGGAAUUCCCAGUGUAGAGGUGAAAUUCGUAGAUAUUGGGAAGAACACCGGUGGCGAAGGCGGCGACCUGGUCCUUGACUGACGCUGAGGCGCGAAAGCGUGGGGGAGCAAACAGG